Long non-coding RNA from Bombyx mori (domestic silkworm), 1359 nucleotides. RefSeq lists it as uncharacterized. Lineage: Eukaryota; Metazoa; Arthropoda; Insecta; Lepidoptera; Bombycidae. The transcript has 2 exons. The record is from RefSeq and is a predicted model, not a curated record.
AACAGUUUCAUCUUGCUAAUAAUAAAUAAAUAUUAACAUAUAAUAAAAUAAACUAUAUAUUAUUAUGUUAAUUAUUGCCAAUAGUGACGUUUGCGCCCAUAUUUACUUAGAAUAUUGUACUGAGCUGAUGAACAGUGAAAUCACAGGUUCAUUAUCUGUUUUAUUAUUCAAUUCAACUAAAGUUUGGACCAUUGCCAUCAGAAUAUUCUUAUUGUUUACAAUUUCAUCCUUAAGUUGAAUUUGAUUCAAGCUGGGUUCAGACUCUGUUUUAUUUGCAUUAUUUACAAUUUUUACAUUUUUAUUUAAUUUAUGUACAUUUUGGCUUAUUGAUGGUAGGGUCUUAACAAUGCUGCUCGGCUGUGUAGGUAAAGACGGAAAAUCAGAUGUCGUAAUUGUAUUAGCCACAGAGGCAUAAGUAAUGUUACCCUUUUUUUCCAGUAUUUUUUUCAUUUUUAUUGGGCAAGAUUUGGAAAUGGCCAGGUGAGGGUCACUGCAAUUGACACAACACACGGUGGUUGAACUUGAAGCACCGGAAGCAUUGUUGCAACGGCGGGACAUAUUCAAACACCCUUAACGAAAAUAGGUCAUAUGAGGCCUUUAUAAUCAAAGGCAGCUAAAUCCAAGUCUGUCAAAUAUUCAGAUAAACUACAAAAAUCGGCCCUAAACACGUCAUUACGGGUCCUCCCGAUCCAUCGAAGUACUGCUCUUGCUAGGGCCAGUGUUACUGCCGGGUUUGAGAAACUGAAAUAACUUUGUUCGGAUAGCUACGAUAUUCUUUAUUUAAAGCAUAGAAGCAAUAAUCUGAGUUUUAAAUGAUAAAACUUCGUUUAUGAGUAGGUACUUAGCACACAGUAAAAAUGAAAUUUUUGAACUAAAUUUGUUAGAGAUUUAGCUGCAUUUGUUAUAACAUGAAAACACUAAAGCGUGUUCAACUAACUAUACAAGAUAGGACCAUUGUUAAUCCAUUUUACGACAUUAAGGCGUUUAGCUGCCUCUGAUUUCAUAGGCCUCAUAUUGGAUGUUGUCGGGCAGAACAUUUGAUAAGAAAGUUAUACUGACAGUCUCGAGACCUACAGUACUUUGACCGACUUUUUUCGUGAAUCUUCUCAUUGAAAUAAUUUCAUAGAUCGAAGACAGUUUCGUAUAUAAAUCCUUGUUCGAAAUGUUGGUAGGCACAUAUCGGAUGAUUUUCUAUCUGCGCUGCAGGAAUAUGCGCCUUCAAGUUGUGCUUUGUUAAAAGUCUGUAUUUGUGAUGAAAUUAUUUGUAUUGUUUAAAAACAACCGCAAUUUUGUUGGGAUCGACUCUAUGUAAAGCUACCACACCUUUCACCUCCGAAGUAAAAAUAUGAUUUAAGUAAA